GCUGGGAUAGCUCAGUCAGUAGAGCACGAGACUCUUAAUCUCAGGUGGAUCCGAGCCCCACGUUGAGCA
Podarcis lilfordi (Lilford's wall lizard) is the source of this 69-nucleotide non-coding RNA. Lineage: Eukaryota; Metazoa; Chordata; Lepidosauria; Squamata; Lacertidae. The record is from the annotation of a GenBank genome assembly.